Molecule: ribosomal RNA, 108 nt
Filed under: uncultured bacterium
Lineage: Bacteria
Description: partial 16S ribosomal RNA
Rfam family: Bacterial small subunit ribosomal RNA
Source: RNAcentral
AAGAAGGCCUGCGGGUUGUAAAGCCCUUUCGUUGGGGAAGAAAAGUCUCGACCUAACACGUCGGGACCGUGACGUUACCCAAAGAAGAAGCACCGGCUAACUCUGUGC